Long non-coding RNA from Panicum virgatum (switchgrass), 1277 nucleotides. RefSeq lists it as uncharacterized. The record is from RefSeq and is a predicted model, not a curated record. The transcript has 4 exons. NCBI's taxonomy places the organism in Eukaryota, Viridiplantae, Streptophyta, Magnoliopsida, Poales, Poaceae.
CUAUUGCAAACGGACUAUCACCGCCGGUUCAAAGUAACCCGACGGUGAUGAGGCAUCACCGCAGGUUCCAAAGUUGGUGGCCGUAGCGGCUGUUGGAACCGACGGUGAUGAGGUGCAUCACCGCCGGUUCGUAACACGAACCGUUGGUGAUGGUACUGUAGGGCAUCACCGUCGGUUCGUAACACGAACCGGCGGUGAUGAGGCUCAUUACCGCCGGGUCGGAGCUGGACCCGACGGUGAAGCUUCGUUGACCCCAAAAUAAGACUGCGCACGCCCUGCUGCCUCCCAAAAUCCUGUUCGCCCUUGUCAAAAAAAAAUCAUGUUCGCCCGCCCGCGCCUCCGAGGAGGUCCGGCUCGGGCCGCCGGCCCUGCUUGCACCGGCCAUCGUCCCGUGCAGAGGUGCCGCCCCCGCCCCGAGCACCUGACGCACCACCAUUCCUGAGCCCCCGUGCCGACCCGUGCCGCACGCGCCGCCAUCCCUGAGUCUCGGCGCCUCCCUUGACGCCAGCGCCGGCCCCGCGAGGAGCUGCCGCGCCGCCGUUGCGAGGAGCUAUCCUGCCAUCGUCGUGAGGAGGUUCGGCCUCCUACUCGCUCCUCCGCUCCUUGACGUGCUAGAUCAAGGUAAUCCCUAGGAGCACAUAUGAACAAGUGGAGCUUGCUUGUUACCUGUUGUGAACAAUUCAUUUUCUACUAGUUGAAAUUCUGCAGGAGCAGAAGUGGAUCAUAGCUGUUGUUUAUGGUGCCUGUAUAUGCCUUUGAAUCUGUAUAUGUGAAACUUCUGUGCACUAGUUCAUCACAUGGCAGUUCAUUUUCUGGAAUGAUAUACAAAGGAACCGUUCACAAUGGAGUAGCAGUUCACAAUGGAGUUAGCAGUUCAAAAUGCAACAGAGUUGGUGCAAAGAGUAUCAUGCAAGGUUUCUUUUUACAAUGACUAUCCUCAUCUUUAAUUGUUUACAAUGACAAAUAUGCAACACUAUAUUCAAUUGUCUCACUCAUUAUCAUUACAGAAAGUGCUCACUGCUCUCAUCUCAAUAUUUUUACACAUCUCCAUAUACUUUAUUAUGUGUUCACUGUUUUAUGUUUAACAUUUAGGCAGUAACACAUCUCCAUAUACUUAUUGCAAGUUUAUUUCAAAUUGAGGAAGCUGAACUGAGCAUUAUGAAUCUGUAUGCUGAUUCCUAAUGAUAUAUAUCAAGAAGGCGUAAUUGUAAGAGAGACAUGAUGGGUGCAACUUGGAGUAGCAUGUGAGCUCAUAUGCAUUGCUGAAGAAUCUUUUU